GGCCUAAUGGUCUAGUAGUAUGAUACGCGCUUCGGGUUUAACCCGCUUCAAAUUGAAGCUUAAGAUGUGCGUGGUCCCGGGUUCAAUUCCCGGUUGGGCCC
Molecule: transfer RNA, 101 nt
Filed under: Agrocybe pediades
Lineage: Eukaryota; Fungi; Basidiomycota; Agaricomycetes; Agaricales; Agrocybaceae
Description: tRNA-Pro
Rfam family: tRNA
About the family: Transfer RNA (tRNA) molecules are approximately 80 nucleotides in length.
Source: RNAcentral